This 250-nucleotide ribosomal RNA is filed under the name uncultured bacterium. RNAcentral's name for it is "partial 16S ribosomal RNA". It matches the Rfam family "Bacterial small subunit ribosomal RNA", at positions 524 to 773 of the family's 1533-position model. The record is from RNAcentral.
UACAGGGGGUGCAAGCGUUGUUCGGAAUUAUUGGGCGUAAAGCGCGUGUAGGCGGGCUGUUAAGUCCGGUGUGAAAUCCCUCGGCUCAACUGAGGACGUGCACUGGAUACUGGCAGUCUUGAGUCCUGGAGAGGAUAGCGGAAUUCCCAGUGUAGAGGUGAAAUUCGUAGAUAUUGGGAGGAACACCAGUGGCGAAGGCGGCUAUCUGGACAGUGACUGACGCUGAGACGCGAAAGCAUGGGUAGCAAAC